This 438-nucleotide ribosomal RNA is filed under the name Triticum aestivum (bread wheat). RNAcentral's name for it is "partial small subunit ribosomal RNA". The record is from RNAcentral. Lineage: Eukaryota; Viridiplantae; Streptophyta; Magnoliopsida; Poales; Poaceae.
AUGACUAGGGAUAAACUUAGGAAGAGACACAUCAUCAAACCCCUUGAUUGUGUUUACUGCUUGGAACAAGAGUCUUGUUCUCACCUAUUUUUUGAAUGUAUUGUUGCUAAACAUCUCUUGGCCCACAUUGAGGAAUAUUUCUCUAGUCAGAUUGGCUCAUCCUUUGAAUUUGUUGCCAGAUUCUGGAUUGCUACCAAAAAGUGCUCAGUUUUAAACAUUGUUAGCUCAGCUGUCCUUUGGUGCCUCUGAAAAUAUAGAAAUGCUAUGAUUUUCAGUAACACCUCUUGGAUUUCCAUUCCGCAAGUCUUGAGGUUGAUCAGGAACAUGGUGAGGAACUGGGCAAUUCUCUCCUCCGGAUCGGACAAGGACAAGUUGAUGAGCUUCUUGGAAACCCUAACAAGAUCCCUCCAGAAACUGUUGGCGAUCACUUGUGGCUGA